UGACGCACUUCCGGCUUUUGGGACGCUUUCCCUGGGCUCUGACGUCCAGAGGGCCUGUGUCUGAGUCCAGUGCCCCUGGUCCCCGAAGUCACAACUCCUCCUAUCCCAGGACCGCAGACUUCUCCGGGGGGGGGACAGAGUUGGACGUGCACUGCUGUGUCCUGCAAUCCCCUCCGCCCUGGACGGAGUGAAAGCGGGUCGCGCCAGCCUCGGCAGUGGCAAGCGCUGUCUUCCAGCAGAGGCGUCGCUGGGUACAGGAUAGUAAAACCUGAUCUUAUAAAACCUAGGUCACAAAGCACAGCCCUGCAAAACAGAUCCUAUUUGCAUCAAGUGAGCCAGUUCCUGGAACCUGAAUAAUGACUCCUGAAUCAAGGGAUACUAUACAUUUGUCUCCAUGGGGUACCCAGGAGAUAAAAGGCAUUGUGAUAGUGAAGGUGGAGGAGGAAGAGGAAGAAGACCAUUUUCAAAAGGAAAAAAACAAAGUAGAGUCAUCACCACAAGUUCUCAGUCGCUCUACAACUAUGAAUGAGAGAGCCUUAUUAUCAUCAUAUUUAGUUGCAUAUAGAGUGGCAAAAGAGAAAAUGGCUCACACAGCAGCUGAAAAAAUUAUCCUUCCAGCAUGUAUGGAUAUGGUACGUACAAUUUUUGAUGAUAAAUCAGCUGAUAAACUAAAAACUAUACCUCUUAGUGAUAAUAAAAUAUCUCAUCGAAUCUGUACGAUUGCAAAACAUUUGGAAGCAAUGCUUAUUACACGGCUGCACUCUGGUGUAGACUUUGCCAUCCAACUUGAUGAGAGCACCGAAAUUGCAAGUGGUCCAACACUCUUGGUUUAUGUCAGAUAUGUGUGGCAAGAUGAUUUUGUAGAGGACCUCUUACGUUGUUUAAACUUAAAUUCACACAUAACUGGAUUGGAUUUAUUUACUGAAUUAGAAAACUGCAUUGUUCGUCAGUAUAAAUUAAACUGGAAACACUGUAAAGGAGUUUCAAGUGAUGGAGCAGCAAAUAUGACUGGAAAACAUAGCACACUUAUUGAAAAACUGUUAGAAGCAACCCACAACAAUGCUCUUUGGAAUCACUGUUUUAUUCAUCGAGAAGCUUUGGUAUCCAAAGAAAUUUCACCAAGUCUAAUAGACGCAUUGAAAAAUGCAGUGAAAAUUGCUAAUUUUAUUAAAAGAAGUUCACCGAAUAGCCAACUUCUUGAAGUAUUUUGUUCAGAGAUUGGAGUUAACCAUACCCACUUAUUGUUUCAUAACGAAGUUCAUUGGCUUUCUCAAGGAAAAGUAUUGAGCCAAGUAUAUGAACUCAGGAAUGAGAUUUACAUUUUUCUCAUUGAAAAGCAAUCUCAUUUGGCAAGCAUUUUUGAAGAUGAUAUCUGGGUACCAAAAUUGGCAUAUUUAAGUGACAUUUUUAGCAUUCUUAAUGAAUUAAACCUGAAAACACAGGGGAAAAACAAUGAUAUAUGUCAGUAUCUUGAACAUAUUCUAGGAUUCCAAAAAACAUUAUUGCUGUGCCAAGCAAGACUUAAAAGUAAUUGCCCGAGCUACUAUAUGUUUCCAAUAUUCUUGCAACACAUUUAAGAGAACAUUAUUAAUGAAGACUGCUUAAAAGAAAUAAAGUUAAAGAUAUUGUUGCAUCUCACUUCUUUGUCUCAAACUUUUAAUUAUUACUUUGCAGAAGAGAAAUUUGAAUCAUUAAAGGAAAAUAUUUGGAUGAAAGAUCCAUUUGCUUUUCAAAACCCAGAAUCAAUAAUUCAGUUAAACUUGGAGCCUGAAGAAGAGAAUGAAUUAUUGCAGCUCAGUUCAUCAUUCACACUAAAGAAUUAUUAUAAGACAUUAAGUUUAUCAGCAUUUUGGAUUAAGAUUAAAGAUAAAUUUCCACUGCUAAGUAGGAAGAGUAUAUUGCUGUUACUACCAUUCACAACUACUUGUUUGUGUGAAUUAGGAUUUUCAAUCUUGACACGAUUAAAAACGAAGAAAAGAAAUAGGCUCAAUAGUGCACCAGACAUGCGGGUAGCAUUAUCUUCAUGUGUUCCUGACUGGAAGGAACUUAUGAACAGACAAGCACACCCAUCACAUUAAAUAAAAUUUUUAUAAAAUUUUGUGUUUAGCAGAGCAUGGGGUCUCACACCUGUAAUCCCAGCACUUUGGGAGGCCGAGGUGGGCAGAUCAUUUGAGAUCAGGAGUUCGAGAGCAGCCUGGCCAACAUGGUGAAACCGCAUCUCUGCUAAAAAUACAAAACUUAGCCAGGCAUGGUGGCGCAUGCCUGCAGUCACAGUUACUAGGGUGGCUGAGGCACGAGAAUCUCUUACACCAGGAAGGCAGAGAUUGCAGUGAGCUGAGAUGAUGCUACUGCAUUCCAGCCUGGGCAACAGUGAGAUUCCAUCUCAAAAAAAAAAAAAGAAAAUUGUGUCUGUACUUUUUAAGGGAUUUUGCAGUAUGUUGUAUUAAAAUGUUAAUAAAAUUACAUUUGCAAUUAA
Cebus imitator (Panamanian white-faced capuchin) is the source of this 2476-nucleotide long non-coding RNA. RefSeq lists it as uncharacterized. The transcript is spliced from 2 exons. NCBI's taxonomy places the organism in Eukaryota, Metazoa, Chordata, Mammalia, Primates, Cebidae. The record is from RefSeq and is a predicted model, not a curated record.